GACGAACGCUGGCGGCGUGCCUAAUACAUGCAAGUAGAACGCUGAAGGAGGAGCUUGCUUCUCCGGAUGAGUUGCGAACGGGUGAGUAACGCGUAGGUAACCUGCCUGGUAGCGGGGGAUAACUAUUGGAAACGAUAGCUAAUACCGCAUAAGAGUAGAUGUCGCAUGACAUUUGCUUAAAAGGUGCAACUGCACCACUACCAGAUGGACCUGCGUUGUAUUAGCUAGUUGAUGAGGUAACGGCUCACCAAGGCAACGAUACAUAGCCGACCUGAGAGGGUGAUCGGCCACACUGGGACUGAGACACGGCCCAGACUCCUACGGGAGGCAGCAGUAGGGAAUCUUCGGCAAUGGACGGAAGUCUGACCGAGCAACGCCGCGUGAGUGAAGAAGGUUUUCGGAUCGUAAAGCUCUGUUGUAAGAGAAGAACGAGUGUGAGAGUGGAAAGUUCACACUGUGACGGUAUCUUACCAGAAAGGGACGGCUAACUACGUG
This 495-nucleotide ribosomal RNA is filed under the name uncultured bacterium. RNAcentral's name for it is "partial 16S ribosomal RNA". It matches the Rfam family "Bacterial small subunit ribosomal RNA", at positions 28 to 507 of the family's 1533-position model. The record is from RNAcentral.